RNAcentral lists this ribosomal RNA (821 nucleotides) under Microbacterium sp. PCA2-14_Pa. RNAcentral's name for it is "bacterial SSU rRNA". It matches the Rfam family "Bacterial small subunit ribosomal RNA", at positions 62 to 891 of the family's 1533-position model. Lineage: Bacteria; Bacillati; Actinomycetota; Actinomycetes; Micrococcales; Microbacteriaceae. The record is from RNAcentral.
UCGAACGGUGAACACGGAGCUUGCUCUGUGGGAUCAGUGGCGAACGGGUGAGUAACACGUGAGCAACCUGCCCCUGACUCUGGGAUAAGCGCUGGAAACGGCGUCUAAUACUGGAUACGAACCAUGAAGGCAUCUUCAGUGGUUGGAAAGAUUUAUUGGUUGGGGAUGGGCUCGCGGCCUAUCAGCUUGUUGGUGAGGUAAUGGCUCACCAAGGCGUCGACGGGUAGCCGGCCUGAGAGGGUGACCGGCCACACUGGGACUGAGACACGGCCCAGACUCCUACGGGAGGCAGCAGUGGGGAAUAUUGCACAAUGGGCGCAAGCCUGAUGCAGCAACGCCGCGUGAGGGAUGACGGCCUUCGGGUUGUAAACCUCUUUUAGCAGGGAAGAAGCGAAAGUGACGGUACCUGCAGAAAAAGCGCCGGCUAACUACGUGCCAGCAGCCGCGGUAAUACGUAGGGCGCAAGCGUUAUCCGGAAUUAUUGGGCGUAAAGAGCUCGUAGGCGGUUUGUCGCGUCUGCUGUGAAAUCCGGAGGCUCAACCUCCGGCCUGCAGUGGGUACGGGCAGACUAGAGUGCGGUAGGGGAGAUUGGAAUUCCUGGUGUAGCGGUGGAAUGCGCAGAUAUCAGGAGGAACACCGAUGGCGAAGGCAGAUCUCUGGGCCGUAACUGACGCUGAGGAGCGAAAGGGUGGGGAGCAAACAGGCUUAGAUACCCUGGUAGUCCACCCCGUAAACGUUGGGAACUAGUUGUGGGGUCCAUUCCACGGAUUCCGUGACGCAGCUAACGCAUUAAGUUCCCCGCCUGGGGAGUACGGCCGCAA